Haliaeetus leucocephalus (bald eagle) is the source of this 291-nucleotide long non-coding RNA. RefSeq lists it as uncharacterized. The record is from RefSeq and is a predicted model, not a curated record. The transcript has 3 exons. Lineage: Eukaryota; Metazoa; Chordata; Aves; Accipitriformes; Accipitridae.
GCAGGAACCUGGAAAACAUCCAAGCGGACAAAACCCCCGGCUUCAUCCCGGAGGUGCUGAAGCUGCUGCGGGUCUGCGCGAGCAAGCUGAAGAGCGUCAGGGAGGAUGAGCGGAGCGGGAUGCAGCUGGAGAGCGGGAUGCUCUACGCCCUGCAUCUCUGCGAGUGCCUCUUCGACCCCUACCAGACCUGGCGGCGGCAGCUGAGCGGGGAAGUCAUCAGCGCGAAGGAGAAGAGUAAAUACAAGUUCGCCCCGGCCCCUUUGCCCCCCGAGUUCGGUGCCUUUUUCCAAG